UGGGGAAUAUUGCACAAUGGGCGAAAGCCUGAUGCAGCGACGCCGCGUGAGGGAUGACGGCCUUCGGGUUGUAAACCUCUUUCAGCAGGGAAGAAGCGAAAGUGACGGUACCUGCAGAAGAAGCGCCGGCUAACUACGUGCCAGCAGCCGCGGUAAUACGUAGGGCGCAAGCGUUGUCCGGAAUUAUUGGGCGUAAAGAGCUCGUAGGCGGUUAGUCGCGUCUGCUGUGAAAACUCGAGGCUCAACCUCGGGCUUGCAGUGGGUACGGGCUGACUAGAGUGCGGUAGGGGUGACUGGAAUUCCUGGUGUAGCGGUGGAAUGCGCAGAUAUCAGGAGGAACACCGAUGGCGAAGGCAGGUCACUGGGCCGCAACUGACGCUGAGGAGCGAAAGCACGGGGAGCGAACAGGAUUAGAUACCCUGGUAGUCCAUGCCGUAAACGUUGGGCACUAGGUGUGGGGUCCAUUCCACGGAUUCCGUGCCGCAGCAAACGCAUUAAGUGCCCCGCCUGGGGAGUACGGCCGCAAGGCUAAAACUUAAAUGAAUUGACGGGGUCAUAGCUGUUUCCU
Molecule: ribosomal RNA, 568 nt
Filed under: uncultured bacterium
Lineage: Bacteria
Description: partial 16S ribosomal RNA
Rfam family: Bacterial small subunit ribosomal RNA
Source: RNAcentral